RNAcentral lists this long non-coding RNA (697 nucleotides) under Apteryx owenii (little spotted kiwi). RNAcentral's name for it is "lncRNA (ENSAOWG00000010050.1)". Lineage: Eukaryota; Metazoa; Chordata; Aves; Apterygiformes; Apterygidae. The record is from RNAcentral.
AUGCCCUUUAUAUGCUGCUUAAUGCCCCAAGGGGGAUGUGACAGCCUUGUAUGCCUAGUAUAAUGCUCAUGUUUCAUUACAUAUAGAAAUGCUUAUCACUGCUGAAUAACCUAUUCAGGAUGCACCUGUGAUGUUUUUUUUCCCUUAAGAUGGAUGCUUGGCUCCAUGGGCUUGAGAAUUUAAGCGCAAGAACUUUACGGCAGCAAGGAGUGACUGUCUUAGAAAAGAAAACAAGGUAGCUGCAAAGAGACGUUUCUUAUUAUCUAUCACUAAAUGGACUGAAUCCCAACCAUGCAGGCAGUGGCUGUGUCUCUGUGUGUGUUAGCCAGUGAGCCCUUGCUGGAGUGAGCCAUCGUUCCUGACACCUGUAGCUCCAGUGGUGCAGAACUGUCACUGGAAUGUCACUGCCAGGCCAUGAAGGAGUUUGACAAAUUGCCUUGGAUAGGGAACCCACAGAAUGCAACUACACUUCUGUGUUGUUGAUUAUACUUAUUGGCCUGAAUUGCUCAGGAGUUGCUCAUGGUCAAGGAACUGAAGCUUCUUGAAGAUGUCCCCAGGUACCCCCCAAGAAGGACGGCACUGACUUGCUGUGAAAUCCCAAGCAGCAGAGAUGAGGAGCCAGACGGAAAAUCCGUGACACAAUUUCUACACUGCUUCUGAAGCCUUGCGCACUGAAGAGCUAUAAAUGCUACUAAAC